This is a long non-coding RNA of Mus musculus (house mouse), 773 nucleotides long. RefSeq annotates it as predicted gene, 39955. Lineage: Eukaryota; Metazoa; Chordata; Mammalia; Rodentia; Muridae. The transcript has 4 exons. The record is from RefSeq and is a predicted model, not a curated record.
GGAUGUCCAACUCUGGGUUGUGUGGAGGAAGCCUGCAGCACCAGAGGGCCUCUCCAGACUAUUGGGAACCUGUGUCACUAAUCUGACCUCUGUCCCCGGACCUCAUAUUCGAGUCUGCAGAUGCUGUUCCCAUGCAGAACACAGAGGCAGCCGCCUCACAGAGCCUGAUUUCAAGAGGACCUCCUGAGAGAUUUGUGUGGGCCUUUGUGGGUCCUCAGUGACAACAGAGAAAAGGCUGGGCCUCUGCAACUGGCAGAAAAAGGCUGGAUUUCUGAAGAGUCUCAAGUUCAUCCUGAAAAGGUAGUCUCUGGUCCCUGGCUCUAGCCCACAACUGUCAGACCUGAGUAUUCACUGCCAUCGUCCACCUAGCAGAGAGCAGUUGUGAGGGCACCUGUGGAAAUCUGAGCGGCAACUGUCCCAGAUCGCCAAGCAGAGGCAGAGGACGUGGGGCCAAUUCCCAGCACCCACAUGGCAGCUCAGAACUAUCUGUAACUCCCAAUCCCGGGUCCUGACACCCUCACGGGUCUUGGAAGAGCGCGAGUGCUCCUAACCACUAAGAAUCUCAAGCUGUGUGGUUGACUCAGUUUCCUCCAGACCCCUGCGUGCUGCACAUUCACUUAUGAACUGUGGAUUCCAAACAUAAACAGAGCUCCAUCAUCACCCUGAGCUUCCUGGAUGCAGAGGGGCGAACCCUAUUCCAGUGUGUCCUUCCAUGCAGCCACUGAGGCUCUUGGUUCCUGUUUUAAAUUCAGAAUGAUACAAUGGAAAGCAAA